AUUGAACGCUGGCGGCAUGCUUUACACAUGCAAGUCGAACGGGCAGCGCGGGGGCAACCCUGGCGGCGAGUGGCGAACGGGUGAGUAAUGUAUCGGAACGUAUCCUGUAAUGGGGGAUAACCAGUCGAAAGAUUGGGUAAUACCGCAUACGCACGAGAGUGGAAAGUAGGGGAUCGCAAGACCUUACGUUAUAGGAGCGGCCGAUAUCUGAUUAGCUAGUUGGUGGGGUAAAGGCCUACCAAGGCGACGAUCAGUAGCUGGUCUGAGAGGAUGAUCAGCCACACUGGGACUGAGACACGGCCCAGACUCCUACGGGAGGCAGCAGUGGGGAAUUUUGGACAAUGGGCGAAAGCCUGAUCCAGCCAUGCCGCGUGCGGGAAGAAGGCCUUCGGGUUGUAAACUGCUUUAGUCUAGGAAAAAGGGGUGCGAGGUUAAUACCCUCGUGCUUUGAUGGUACUGGAAGAAUAAGCACCGGCUAACUACGUG
Molecule: ribosomal RNA, 486 nt
Filed under: uncultured bacterium
Lineage: Bacteria
Description: bacterial SSU rRNA
Rfam family: Bacterial small subunit ribosomal RNA
Source: RNAcentral